CGGGACGGGGUGGAGUAAUGUCUGGGAAACUGCCUGAUGGAGGGGGGUAACUACUGGAAACGGUAGCUAAUACCGCAUAACGUCGCAAGACCAAAGAGGGGGACCGUUCGGGCCUCUUGCCAUCGGAUGUGCCCAGAUGGGAUUAGCUAGUAGGUGGGGUAACGGCUCACCUAGGCGACGAUCCCCAGCUGGUCUGAGAGGAUGACCAGCCACACUGGAACUGAGACACGGUCCAG
RNAcentral lists this ribosomal RNA (236 nucleotides) under uncultured bacterium. RNAcentral describes it as "partial 16S ribosomal RNA". It matches the Rfam family "Bacterial small subunit ribosomal RNA", at positions 104 to 334 of the family's 1533-position model. The record is from RNAcentral.